UUCGGUUGAAGUCACGAGUGGAAAGCGGCGGACGGGUGAGUAACGCGUGAGCAACCUGCCUCAUACAGGGGGAUAACAGUUAGAAAUGACUGCUAAUACCGCAUAAGCGCACAGGACCGCAUGGUCAAGUGUGAAAAACUGAGGUGGUAUGAGAUGGACCCGCGUCUGAUUAGCUAGUUGGUGAGGUAAGGGCUCACCAAGGCAACGAUCAGUAGCCGACCUGAGAGGGUGACCGGCCACAUUGGGACUGAGACACGGCCCAAACUCC
RNAcentral lists this ribosomal RNA (268 nucleotides) under uncultured Lachnospiraceae bacterium. Its description in RNAcentral is "partial 16S ribosomal RNA". It matches the Rfam family "Bacterial small subunit ribosomal RNA", at positions 76 to 339 of the family's 1533-position model. Lineage: Bacteria; Bacillati; Bacillota; Clostridia; Lachnospirales; Lachnospiraceae. The record is from RNAcentral.